AUCGUGGUCGAUUGUGGUAGUUGGUGAGGUAACGGCUCACCAAGCCGAUAAUCGAUAGGGGCCGUGAGAGCGGGAGCCCCGAGAUGGGUACUGAGACAACGACCCAGGCCUUACUAGGCGCAGCAGGCGCGAGACCUCCGCAAUACACGAAAGUGUGACGGGGUUACCCAAAGUGUUCAUAAUUGAACUGUGGUAGGUGAGUAAUGUCCCCUACUACAAAGGAGAGGGCAAGGCUGGUGCCAGCCGCCGAGGUAAAACCAUCUCUUCAAGUGGUCAGGAUAAUUAUUGGGCUUAAAGUGUCCGUAGCCGGUUUAGUAAGUUCCUGGUAAAAUCGGGUAGCUUAACUAUCUGUAUGCUAGGAAUACUGCUAUAC
Molecule: ribosomal RNA, 373 nt
Filed under: uncultured archaeon
Lineage: Archaea
Description: bacterial SSU rRNA
Rfam family: Archaeal small subunit ribosomal RNA
Source: RNAcentral